GAGUAAAAGUCGUAACAAGGUUUCCGUAGGUGAACCUGCGGAAGGAUC
Molecule: ribosomal RNA, 48 nt
Filed under: Boletus pseudopinophilus
Lineage: Eukaryota; Fungi; Basidiomycota; Agaricomycetes; Boletales; Boletaceae
Description: partial 18S ribosomal RNA
Rfam family: Eukaryotic small subunit ribosomal RNA
Source: RNAcentral